AACAAACACUUCCUUUUGGUUGCAUAUAAUAGGCAACUUCACAAGGAGCCAAUGUGUGGAAGGAUGGGGAUAGAGUUUUAGAUUUAAAUUCAAACUUUUUAAAUUCAAUUUAAAAUCAAUCAAAUUCUAUCCUUAAUGGGUGAUAAAAGAAGGAUUUUGGCAUGAAUUUUUCAGUGCACAAACCAAGUUAUGAGAUGAAAGAAGGCGU
RNAcentral lists this long non-coding RNA (208 nucleotides) under Elaeis guineensis (African oil palm). Its description in RNAcentral is "long non-coding RNA (EGUI_LNC073085)". The record is from RNAcentral. Lineage: Eukaryota; Viridiplantae; Streptophyta; Magnoliopsida; Arecales; Arecaceae.